GUGCCAGCCGCCGCGGUAAUACGGAGGGUGCGAGCGUUAUCCGGAAUUACUGGGUUUAAAGGGUGCGUAGGCGGCUUGGUAAGUCAGGAGUGAAAGUUUGCGGCUCAACCGUAAAAUUGCUUUUGAUACUGCCAGGCUAGAAUCAGGAUGAGGUCAGCGGAAUGUGGCAUGUAGCGGUGAAAUGCAUAGAUAUGCCAUAGAACACCUAUUGCGAAGGCAGCUGGCUAGACCUGUAUUGACGCUGAGGCACGAAAGCGUGGGGAGCGAACAGGAUUAGAAACCCUUGUAGUCC
RNAcentral lists this ribosomal RNA (292 nucleotides) under uncultured bacterium. RNAcentral describes it as "partial 16S ribosomal RNA". It matches the Rfam family "Bacterial small subunit ribosomal RNA", at positions 505 to 796 of the family's 1533-position model. The record is from RNAcentral.